CCUUUCACUUUGCAGGUUCUACGAUUUCGUAGGUUUGUUUCUCGUUACAUCCUCAACUGGGCUCUGGUUCUGUGCUCCUCUGCUUUGUUAAGGUACGAUGGUGGCCAGAUGGGGUUUGAGACAAGAGGCAAGGCUGGAUGGAGCUUUGAGGGCCUCUGGUUUGGCGGCGGCAUGUGCCUAUCAUGGAGGAAGUGGUUACAAUAUCCAUUUGAAAGAUGGAGCGGGCACAAAAUAAGUUCCUGGUACAAUGGUGGCCAGAUGGGGUUGAGACAAGAGGCAAGGCUGGAUGGAGCUUUGAGGGCCUCCAGUUUGGCACGUGUGUCGAUCUGGAAGCACGCUAUUAGAAAAUUACCACGAAAUCAUUAGAGAGCUUCAACCGUUCCUAAUAUACUUAUGGCAAUAUUAUUAUUAGAUGAACCACUACCUAUUUCUAUCUAUGUUAGAAUUUAUGUUAUGUCUAGCUAAUGGGGGACCAAUCAUGAGCCUCACGGUUUAAAGUCAACAAAUCUCAAUCCAAAACUUGCAGUUACAAUAUUGUCUCACUCUUAACUUUGUGCCGGGGCGCAACAAAAUGAAGAGCAAAGGUUCUUUGCAUUUUUUCGAAAAAAG
This is a long non-coding RNA of Lolium rigidum, 609 nucleotides long. RefSeq lists it as uncharacterized. The transcript is spliced from 3 exons. The record is from RefSeq and is a predicted model, not a curated record. NCBI's taxonomy places the organism in Eukaryota, Viridiplantae, Streptophyta, Magnoliopsida, Poales, Poaceae.